UGAAUGUCGAAGACGGGAAGCAGUAAGCAUGUAAGGAGAUCCAGAGAAUUGGCGGCCGGUGCGAGCCAAUAUCCUCGAACAUGCCGAAUAUCAUCCCUGAGAUGCCGUACUGAACACCGCGGACUGACGCGGACAGUAAGCUCGGCCGGCCGUCCUCCGUUACAGGGAACGCGAACGGACUAUCCGCGCUGAGGCGCGAAAUCAGCCGUUCGUUGCGAGUUGCCGGUCAUUGUCUAUGGAUAAUCAGGUCGGAACAAGGGUGGUAACGCGAGUAGACCUCGUCCCUUUU
RNAcentral lists this non-coding RNA (289 nucleotides) under Cohnella sp. RNAcentral describes it as "T-box sequence". It matches the Rfam family "T-box leader". Rfam says of the family: Uncharged tRNA acts as the effector for transcription antitermination of genes in the T-box leader family. T-boxes are found upstream of many aminoacyl-tRNA synthetase genes and some amino acid biosynthetic genes usually in Gram-positive bacteria. The record is from RNAcentral. Lineage: Bacteria; Bacillati; Bacillota; Bacilli; Caryophanales; Paenibacillaceae.